GCGGGGUAACGGCCCACCUAGUCGACGAUCGGUAGCCGGACUGAGAGGUUGAUCGGCCACAUUGGGACUGAGACACGGCCCAGACUCCUACGGGAGGCAGCAGUGAGGGAUAUUCGGCAAUGGGGGAAACCCUGACCGAGCAACGCCGCGUGAGGGAAGACGGUUUUCGGAUUGUAAACCUCUGUCCUCUGUGAAGAUAGUGACGGUAGCAGAGGAGGAAGCUCCGGCUAACUAC
This 235-nucleotide ribosomal RNA is filed under the name uncultured bacterium. RNAcentral's name for it is "partial 16S ribosomal RNA". It matches the Rfam family "Bacterial small subunit ribosomal RNA", at positions 252 to 504 of the family's 1533-position model. The record is from RNAcentral.